ACGGGUGAGUAAUGCAUCGGGACCUACCCAGACGUGGGGGAUAACCUCGGGAAACCGGGACUAAUACCGCAUACGUCCUAUGGGAGAAAGCGGGGGACCUUCGGGCCUCGCGCGGCUGGACGGACCGAUGUGCGAUUAGCUAGUUGGUAGGGUAAUGGCCUACCAAGGCGACGAUCGCUAGCUGGUCUGAGAGGAUGAUCAGCCACACUGGGACUGAGACACGGCCCAGACUCCUACGGGAGGCAGCAGUGGGGAAUAUUGGACAAUGGGCGCAAGCCUGAUCCAGCAAUGCCGCGUGUGUGAAGAAGGCCUUCGGGUUGUAAAGCACUUUUAUCAGGAACGAAAUACCACGGGUUAAUAACCUAUGGGGCUGACGGUACCUGAGGAAUAAGCACCGGCUAACUUCGUGCCAGCAGCCGCGGUAAUACGAAGGGUGCAAGCGUUAAUCGGAAUUACUGGGCGUAAAGGGUGCGUAGGCGGUUGUUUAAGUCUGUCGUGAAAUCCCCGGGCUCAACCUGGGAAUGGCGAUGGAUACUGGGCAGCUAGAGUGUGUCAGAGGAUGGUGGAAUUCCCGGUGUA
RNAcentral lists this ribosomal RNA (579 nucleotides) under Rhodanobacter sp. HRRP010. RNAcentral's name for it is "bacterial SSU rRNA". It matches the Rfam family "Bacterial small subunit ribosomal RNA", at positions 102 to 677 of the family's 1533-position model. RNAcentral also lists the same sequence under 1 other name. Lineage: Bacteria; Pseudomonadati; Pseudomonadota; Gammaproteobacteria; Lysobacterales; Rhodanobacteraceae. The record is from RNAcentral.